UAAGGAAUAUUGGUCAAUGGAGGCAACUCUGAACCAGCCAUGCCGCGUGCAGGAAGAAGGCCCUAUGGGUCGUAAACUGCUUUUGUACCAGAGAAAACCCGAGUACGUGUACUCGGUUGAUAGUAUGGUAAGAAUAAGCAUCGGCUAACUUCGUGCCAGCAGCCGCGGUAAGACGAAGGAUGCAAGCGUUAUCCGGAUUCAUUGGGUUUAAAGGGUGCGUAGGCGGACUGAUAAGUCAGUGGUGAAAUCUCUCAGCUUAACUGAGAAACUGCCAUUGAUACUGUUAGUCUAGAGUAUAGAUGACGUUGGCGGAAUAUGACAUGUAGUGGUGAAAUACUUAGAUAUGUCAUAGAACACCGAUUGCGAAGGCAGCUAACGAAACUAUAACUGACGCUGAGGCACGAAAGUGCGGGGAUCAAACAGG
RNAcentral lists this ribosomal RNA (424 nucleotides) under uncultured bacterium. RNAcentral's name for it is "bacterial SSU rRNA". It matches the Rfam family "Bacterial small subunit ribosomal RNA", at positions 355 to 776 of the family's 1533-position model. The record is from RNAcentral.